This 493-nucleotide ribosomal RNA is filed under the name uncultured bacterium. Its description in RNAcentral is "bacterial SSU rRNA". It matches the Rfam family "Bacterial small subunit ribosomal RNA", at positions 28 to 531 of the family's 1533-position model. The record is from RNAcentral.
GGUUAACGCUGGCGGCGUGCCUAACACAUGCAAGUCGAACGGUUCUAAGCGCGAGCUUAGGAUAGUGGCGAACGGGUGAGUAAAAGGUAGGAAUCUACCCCUUGGACGGAGAUAGCUACUGGAAACGGUAGGUAAACUUCGAUAAGCCCGAGAGGGGAAAGUGGUGAGACAGCCGAGGGAUGAGCCUACUCUCCAUCAGGUAGUUGGUGAGAUAAAAGCUUACCAAGCCGAUGACGGAUAACCGGUGUGAGAGCAUGAACGGUCACAAGGGCACUGAGAGACGGGCCCUACUCCUACGGGAGGCAGCAGUGGGGAAUCUUGGACAAUGGGCGAAAGCCUGAUCCAGCGACGCCGCGUGGAGGAAGAAGUCCUUCGGGAUGUAAACUUCUGAACUAGCCGAAUAAAAGGACCUGUGGACACACAGGAGAAGAAAGUAGGCUAGGAAAAGUCCCGGCGUAACUACGUGCCAGCAGCCGCGGUAAGGCUACGUAGA